This is a long non-coding RNA of Planococcus citri (citrus mealybug), 602 nucleotides long. RefSeq lists it as uncharacterized. The transcript has 2 exons. The record is from RefSeq and is a predicted model, not a curated record. NCBI's taxonomy places the organism in Eukaryota, Metazoa, Arthropoda, Insecta, Hemiptera, Pseudococcidae.
UUUGAUUAGAUUCGCAUUUUACGAGUAUCAAUUGCUGUGAAUUUACUACGGUUUGUAGGAUUUACCGCACAUCUUGUUUAUCGAGAUAGAUGAUCGUAAAUGAAUAAGGCCAAGUGUACGAUAAUGAAGACGACAACUACAACUAUGGAUUUAAAUCUUUCGUUCGGAUACAUUGUAACAGUUCGAGUUUAGUUGUCGUGUUCAGUUAAUUUUUAUGAGUUGGUUGGCUUCGAAGUUGAAUUUUGGCGAAGGUAAUUUUGUUCGAGAAAUCGGUGACUCGAUGUUGAACAAGAUGUAUGAAUAUAUUAAAUUGGUAUUCGUAGCUACAACCGUUGUAAUAAUCAGCGUUUUACUGGUCGUUCAAGCCAGACUGGAGGAUAAUAAACAAGCUGCACCGGUAGAAGGUGAAAAACAAGUGAACGUAAAAUGAAUUCUGCAUUUGCAGAAAGAAUGAACAUGUUGUUGGUAUCUUGCAGUUCAAAAGUUUUUUAAAUGCACCUGCAACCAGCCUCUCGUCAAUGAAAUGAAGACUUCGUCACAAAUAAAUAGUUUUAAGUGUAUGUAAAUUAACCUCAAAAAUAUAUCGUGAACUUUAAAUAAAA